CAGCCGCCGCGGUAAUACGUAGGUGGCAAGCGUUGUCCGGAUUUAUUGGGCGUAAAGCGAGCGCAGGCGGUUUCUUAAGUCUGAUGUGAAAGCCCCCGGCUCAACCGGGGAGGGUCAUUGGAAACUGGGAGACUUGAGUGCAGAAGAGGAGAGUGGAAUUCCAUGUGUAGCGGUGAAAUGCGUAGAUAUAUGGAGGAACACCAGUGGCGAAGGCGGCUCUCUGGUCUGUAACUGACGCUGAGGCUCGAAAGCGUGGGGAGCAAACAGGAUUAGAUACCCGAGUAGUCCCUGUCUCUUAUAU
RNAcentral lists this ribosomal RNA (301 nucleotides) under uncultured bacterium. RNAcentral describes it as "partial 16S ribosomal RNA". It matches the Rfam family "Bacterial small subunit ribosomal RNA", at positions 509 to 809 of the family's 1533-position model. The record is from RNAcentral.